This 484-nucleotide ribosomal RNA is filed under the name uncultured bacterium. Its description in RNAcentral is "partial 16S ribosomal RNA". It matches the Rfam family "Bacterial small subunit ribosomal RNA", at positions 29 to 507 of the family's 1533-position model. The record is from RNAcentral.
AUUGAACGCUGGCGGCAUGCUUUACACAUGCAAGUCGAACGGCAGCGCGGGCUUCGGCCUGGCGGCGAGUGGCGAACGGGUGAGUAAUGCAUCGGAACGUGCCCAGUAGUGGGGGAUAGCCCGGCGAAAUCCGGAUUAAUACCGCAUACGACCUGAGGGUGAAAGCGGGGGACCGAAAGGCCUCGCGCUAUUGGAGCGGCCGAUGUCGGAUUAGCUAGUUGGUGGGGUAAAGGCUUACCAAGGCGACGAUCCGUAGCUGGUCUGAGAGGACGACCAGCCACAAUGGGACUGAGACACGGCCCAGACUCCUACGGGAGGCAGCAGUGGGGAAUUUUGGACAAUGGGGGCAACCCUGAUCCAGCCAUGCCGCGUGCGGGAAGAAGGCCUUCGGGUUGUAAACCGCUUUUGUUCGGGAAGAAAUCCUCUGGGCUAAUACCCCGGGGGGAUGACGGUACCGGAAGAAUAAGCACCGGCUAACUACGUG